RNAcentral lists this long non-coding RNA (250 nucleotides) under Elaeis guineensis (African oil palm). RNAcentral's name for it is "long non-coding RNA (EGUI_LNC006284)". Lineage: Eukaryota; Viridiplantae; Streptophyta; Magnoliopsida; Arecales; Arecaceae. The record is from RNAcentral.
CUGGGCCCAUUGGAGCUGACGACUAUAUCGAAGGACCCUAGUGGCCGCAUCCCAUCUCACCACCUCGACAAUCUUUGAUAAUCUCCUGCACUCGACGAUUAAUUUGUUCCUUUCUUCAACGUGAGCCUUAUCCCUUAGCCAAAUAGCUAUCCGACGAUGCUCGACCUCCACUAAAGCCUCCCUGACUUCGAUAAGCUCCCUCUUCCAACUCAAAAUCUUUUUUCUUCAUGCUCUCACCUUCCUCUCCAGU